Molecule: long non-coding RNA, 4114 nt
Organism: Panonychus citri (citrus red mite)
Lineage: Eukaryota; Metazoa; Arthropoda; Arachnida; Trombidiformes; Tetranychidae
Exons: 4
Source: RefSeq, a predicted model, not a curated record
UCAUUACCAUAAAUAAUGUUAAUCAACUAAUCGUGAUGAUAUAAAAUUUAUAUUUUAUUUAGGAAAGGAAAAAAUUUACAAAUUAAAAAUCUAUUAGCACAAUUUACAAAUUGACCAACAAUCAACGUCAAUAAUUAUGACCUAAAUCAUUAUGAAUGAAGAAACAUUUAAAUCAUCAAAUUUAAAUUGCUAUCAAUAUGGACAAUUAAAACUGAGAAAAAGUUAAUUCCAAAAGUUAAAUCACAUUUGCUAAUCCAUUUUGAUAACCAUACGAAAAGCCCAAUGGUAGCUCUUAAUUGUGAACAAUCAACUAAUCACUUUAAUACAAAUAUCACGAGAUUGGAGUUUAUUGUUUACUAAAUCAUCUUGAAUACUAAUAAAUGUUAAUCUCUUUGUCUUCCUUGUCUCUCUCUCUCUCUCUCUCUCUCUCUCUCUCUCUCUCUCUAAUCCAAAGGAGUUUUUUUCUUCUUACCUUUUAUCAUCCUUUUUAUCAUCUCUAUGGUGUGUUAAUCCACCAUCAAUAUUGAAAAGCAUUAAAAGUUUAUCCUUUAAUCCGGUUUAAUGUAUAAGCGCAACAACAGAAAAAAAAUCAUAAGAAAUAAUUUAAAUCCUUUGUAAAUUAGUUCCAGAUUGUUUCUCAUUUUCUUGAUUAUCUAUCAAGAUUAAAGUUGAUUAUGAUUUGGAUUGAUGAUUAACUAUCAAUUGUUAUAUACAAGAUGAUAAUCAAAUGUAAAUUGUUGUAAAACAAUCAACUUCAUGAAUGGAUUUAAAUUGUUGUUCAACUAUUUUAUUGGCCAAAACUUGUCAAGGAUUUUAUUACAAUUUGUUAAUUUAAAUUGUUCUUAUCCUCUCUAAUCAUUGUUUAAAUUGUAUAAUCAGUAUGGUGAUUAAAAUUGUUUCAAUUGCGUGUCACCAAUUUAAAUCCUUAAUCAAUAAACUGGCCUGAUUGUUAAAACCAUAAUCCAAGACAAUCAAUUGAUUGGUAAUCUAUUGAAAUAGUUGGUGGGAUUUCAAAUUCACCAGUGGAUUCAACACCAACUCCACCCAACAGAAAUAGACAAGGUUCAAUCAUGGAUCAUAAUUGUGUUGCCAUUAUUUGAAUAAAUAUGAAUUUCGGUUAACUAAUUGCAAUUAAGUUUGAUUAUCCUUGCAAAGGAUAAUAUUUUUUACACACAAACACAAUCAACAAUUUAAUUUGUGUGACAAUUAAAACCUCACAGAUCAAUUGAAAGAGAAACUUGAAAAUAUUAGUUACAAGUUGAUUAUCUUGUAUAAUAUUAACAUUGAAAUUGAUUAAAUCUUUAAUUGUCUAUUAGAGGUUCUUGUUUUAAUUAUCAUACGAAUCAUAAGAAUUUAAUUGUGGUGUAAAAAGAAAUCAGGAGAAACCCCUAAGGCAAAAUUGUAUUGAUAUGUAAGUAGAUGAUUGUUGAUGAUUAAACUGUAAUAAUAAGCAAAUUUUGAUCAUUUUUUUCUGCUUCACAAUUGACUGAUCAGAACCAAGUUGGUUUACCUUAAAUCAUUUGAGAAAGUGAUUAUUGUUAAGGUUUCAUAAUCUUAUCGUUUAUUAUAACAAUUGUAUUAAGAUGGUGUUGUGAUUAUCUAUUCAAAUACAUGGGAGUGGGAGAAAGUGGGAGUGGGUGUUGGGUGGUGGUGGUGGAAAGUAAUCUGUUGAAUGAACCAUGAGAUUGAUGCAAUAGAAAUGAAACAAUAAAGAAGAAAAAAAUUCUCGAAUCAAUAUUAUCUCCGAUGAAGAAAAAAAACCGAAAAAAAGUUCUAAUGUAAUUGAUUAGCAUCUUUAAUGGUUUGAUGAUGGAAGACAAAAGGCUCAGAUAAGUUCUAAUGCUUCCUCAUCAUCCUCAUCAUCCUCAUCUUUGUUUUCACCUUUUUUUUGUCUCUUGUUCAGUGAAGGGUAAAUGUUCAUAAGGUGAAUCGAUUUCAUCUCAAGUGUAUUUGUCAUUCAACAAGUUCAUCAUCAGGAUGAGAUGGAAAGGAUUUCAUCUCUCUCUCUCUCUCUCUCUCUCUCUCUCUCUCUCUCUCUCUCUCUCUCUCUCUCUCUCUCUCUUCCUUGGAUGAUGUGAGCUCAUAAGGAUGAUAAGUGAUCGUGAUCAGAAAGACCAAAUCGAUCAUUUUUCUGGUUGAAAUAUCUUCCCAUGGAUGAUGAUCAUGUUGAUGAUUAUCAUCAACUGAACAAAGUUUCACUUUUACAAAUCAUUGAAGCAGAAUUGUUAACAAUAUAAUUAUAUUACUAAAUUGUUUAUAAUCAUAUUAUCAUUAGAAAUUAACAAUUUUUCUGUAAAUUGUUUGUAUACCCAACAGUUUUUUUUUACUAUCACAAUGCAAUCAGUUAAUUGUUUGGGUUGUGAUUUCAAUCAGUUAAUAAUCAUUGUUGAUCCUCUGGUUUUUGUUUUAUGUUUUGUGUGUAAAUUUCAAUGCUAACAAAUCAAUUGAUUGUUGUACCAUUAACACUAAUAAUUAACUUUAGGUUUUAAUUACAGUAAAUUGAACUUACCUUCAUUAGUGUGAAAAUCAAUGUGUAUUGAUGAUAAAUUGUUGUGAGAUAAGUUAAUUGUUAGUUAAUUGCUAACUCAUUUUCAGUCAAUAGUUUUGUUUCAAUUGUGAUCUCAGAAAUUGAGUUUAUUGUCAAAAUUUGAUUGUUUUUUUUUUUAUAUAUUAAAUUUGAUGUCAAAAUUUUCAUCAGUUAAUUGUGAGAUUUAAUUUUCCUGUUUAUUAUUUACAAGAAAAUUUAUUAUUAAAAUAAUUGAUUGUUAAUUGUUUGAUUUGUUGACCUUUCCUUUUGUAAACAAAUUGACCAACUUUUUCACUCACAUAACAAAACAUAUUAACUGAAAUGUUGUUUUCCCUUGAUUGUUGUAAGUUAAUUGUUGAAUAACAUUCGGGACCAUUAACUGAUUGUUCAAAUAUCUAAAAACAACAACAAACUCAACUACAAUUUAGUUAAUUGUAAAUAACAAUCAACCAACAAUCAAAGUGAAAAGUUAUCAGCAACUUGUCAAGAUAAACUGAGAAAAAAUCAACUUGACUUGAAUUAAGAAACAUUGAAACAUCAGAUACUCGGACACACCUAAGUUUGAUCAUUGAUCAGCAAAUACCAUUAAAAUCAUAAUCAUCUUCAUCUUCAUCUUCAUCUUCAUCAUCAUUAUUAUUAUCAUGAAAAUCAGGAAUCAAAUUACAUUUUAAAUUCAUUGGUAAAGUUGAUUAAUCUAAUCUUGAAAUCGUUUCCCUUUGGUCAAUGUUUAUAUUGUUUCCUGUUAAACUGUGUCUUUACCCAACAGUUAACUACACGAACAAUUAACUAAUUGCUGAAAGUGAUUCUAAUUAAAGGUAAUAUAUUGUAGUUCUGACCAAUGUCCAGUAAGGUUGGUAAGAAAAUGAUUUCAAUCAAAUGAUUAAUUGAUUGAUUGACAAUUGAAUUUGAAAUUUCAUCUUCAUCUAUUAACUUUUCCAAUCAAUUUAAAAGGUUAAUUGGUGAUCAUUAGGAAAACAACACAACUAAAUACAAAUGAUUCCUUGACGUUAAUAUACAUCAUCAACUUGGGAGCUUAAUCUUUUUGAUCCAUUUAUUGGUGUGAUCGCCAUCUCAAUAUAUUAGGAUGAUGAUGAUGACGCUCUGAUUCUUAGUAUCUUAUAUCAACAUUGUUCCAUUGAUGUCAAAUGUUCUUCAGCUAUUUUUCUUCACUCAUCACUGAUUUGAUUAUCUAUCUACCAAUUAAGGUUUUACCCUCUUCUCUCUCUCUCUCUAUCUCUUACUCUGUGUGUCGAUUUGUUUCCCUUCUCAAUGUUGUUUACACUUUUUGUUUUCCUUAUCUUAUGGCUCCUUUUGUGUUUAAUAGUUGUUAUUAAUUCGCCUUCUAGGUAAAUUGACAUCAUUAACCAUUAUUAUUAUUAUUAUCUUGAUUAUCAUCUCCAUCACUAAAUUGCCGUUGUGUUGUUUAAGCAUCAUCAUCAACAGAAUCAUCAUUAUCUUUAUCAUCAGAAUCAUCUCCUUCUCAUCAUCAGUGUCAACCUUUUAAGCUUUAUCAAUGUUAAUUGUUUGAAAUCGAUAAUAUUAAUAGUGAAAAUGUUUAGUAAAUUAAUACAUCAUUUGCAAUUCUUA